AUGCCGACCUUCGCGCUCACGGUGCUGCGAAUACCAAAGAAAUUCAUUAAGGAGAUAGACAAGUCGAGACGGCGCUUCCUCUGGGUGGGAUACGAAGAAAUCACGGGCGGCAAAUGCAAGGUUGGCUGGGCGUCGGUGAUCAUGCCAGAGCACCAGGGCGGGCUGGGUAUUCCGGACCUCAGUCGUUUUGCCCGGGCUCUACGGCUGCGCUGGCUCUGGCUCUCCUGGAGGCAGCCAACCAGACCCUGGGUUGGAACCGGGACACCGCGCGACGCCGCUGACCGGGCUCUGUUCGUGGCCUCCACGACGGUGACCAUUGGGAACGGGACUACUGCAUCUUUCUGGUCGUGCUCUUGGCUUGGAGGGUGGUAG
RNAcentral lists this ribosomal RNA (372 nucleotides) under Triticum aestivum (bread wheat). RNAcentral's name for it is "partial small subunit ribosomal RNA". The record is from RNAcentral. Lineage: Eukaryota; Viridiplantae; Streptophyta; Magnoliopsida; Poales; Poaceae.